GACGAACGCUGGCGGCGCGCUUAACACAUGCAAGUCGAGCGAUGAAAUUUCGACAGAUCCCUUCGGGGUGAAGAUGAAAUGGAUUAGCGGCGGACGGGUGAGUAACACGUGAGUAACCUGCCUUUGACAUUGGGAUAGCCUCGGGAAACUGGGAUUAAUACCAAAUGACACUAACUGAUCACAUGAUCAAUUAGUCAAAGAAAUUCGGUCAAAGAUGGACUCGCGGCUGAUUAGCUAGUUGGUGGGGUAACGGCCCACCAAGGCGACGAUCAGUAGCCGGCCUGAGAGGGUGAUCGGCCACAUUGGAACUGAGACACGGUCCAAACUCCUACGGGAGGCAGCAGUGGGGAAUAUUGCACAAUGGGGGAAACCCUGAUGCAGCGACGCCGCGUGAGAGAAGAAGGCCUUCGGGUCGUAAAGCUCUUUUAUGAGGGAAGAUAAUGACGGUACCUCAAGAAAAAGCCCCGGCUAACUACGUG
RNAcentral lists this ribosomal RNA (479 nucleotides) under uncultured bacterium. RNAcentral's name for it is "partial 16S ribosomal RNA". It matches the Rfam family "Bacterial small subunit ribosomal RNA", at positions 28 to 507 of the family's 1533-position model. The record is from RNAcentral.